AAAAAACCCUAUCUCUUCCUUUCCUUCUCUCAAUUCUCAUUUACCCAUAAAAUAUCAGGAUAACGCAAAACCCUCUACCUACUGAAAAUUUUUCAACUUCAAUGGCUAUUUCGUCUGGGAUUUUCACCACUUUCUUCUCCUCUAAAACGGUGUCGUUUCUCAACCCUUCUCCCAGUCUCUCUCCUUGUCCUGUUACCCUGCGAGUGAUGCGCACUGUCACCUGUGCUACGGUAUCGUCCCAGCAGCAGAAGGAGCGGCGUCCCCGAGGCAUUAUGAAGCCUCGUCGCGUUACUCCGGAAAUGGCUGAGUUUGUUGGUGCAUCGGAGAUCUCUCGCACCCAAACGCUUAAGCUCAUUUGGGCCUAUAUCAAGGAGCACAAUCUGCAGGACCCUGAUAACAAGAAGAUCAUAAUUUGUGAUGAGAAGCUGAAGAAGAUAUUUGGUGGUAGGGACCGAGUUGGAUUUCUCGAAGUCGCAGGAUUGAUUAGUCCUCACUUUCUCAAAUAAAUUUAGAAUGUUCGGUUUGAAGUUCAUGGAUCAAGUUCUAUGUGCAGUGGCUAUCUUUUUGGGCGACAACAAUAGUGAAAAUUAUGCCUGUUGCUUUCUGCAAUAGCAGUGUUUUGAGUUUUAUUAUUGCUUGGCUAUAGAGCCAGCUUUGUUAUGAGUUUUCCUUGUAGAUUCCUUGAAUCUAUAGGUUUUUAUUAAGGAUAUUAUUAGGCAUUUCCAGUUUAUGCUUUGUUAGACAUCUUUUAACUUUGGUUGAAUUACGUAUACAAGUUUAAUUCUGGCGAGUUUGUGUUCUUUCUGUACAUUUGUGGCUUCCUGCACAAACUAAGUACAAGCAAUUCUAUGCAAGAGUACUUUGUUGUGGCUGCUCUUUAAAUGUUAAUUGCAGCUGAUUUGGGUGUUUUUGGGGAUGGCAAUUGAUGGGGUGGGAAUGUCACUGGCAUCACCUCUCCAUAAGAAUGUGGGUUGUAAAAGAAUGUGCAUGAGUGGGAAGGGUGGUUUAUUUUGUAUUACUUUUUUUUUUUUUUUAAGAAUUGUGUCCUGUAUUAAUUAAAAGCAGACAAAGACCAAAUUUCUUUUUAGUUGGCUCUAUUAGGGUUGAAAAAUGCAUCAACUCCUGUUUAAUAGACGUUCCAUCUAGGGUGGCCACUGGGACCAGGGACUAGACUGCAGGGUCUAGAUUCUAGUUCAGUUUGUUCUGGUUUUGAUUUCAUUCAACUGUUGAAUUAGAUUGGUGGCCGCCCCAAGUUCCACCUAUGGAAUCUUUUUCCUUGCAUGGAGUUAAGCCUCUAACGAGCGUUGUUUGACCUUAACCUCUGAUACUGCCUGAUGGGUGAUCUAAACUUAUAUAUUGGUCAACUGCAGCCAGCAGGUGGUGGCUGAUUUGAAAUAUUCUAUUUCACUGUCCCAGUAAUUACCCUGACAUUGAAUGAUCAGUCGGCUCUAUCAG
RNAcentral lists this unclassified non-coding RNA (1455 nucleotides) under Hevea brasiliensis (rubber tree). Lineage: Eukaryota; Viridiplantae; Streptophyta; Magnoliopsida; Malpighiales; Euphorbiaceae. The record is from RNAcentral.